This 299-nucleotide ribosomal RNA is filed under the name Cylindrospermopsis raciborskii CS-506_B. RNAcentral describes it as "partial 16S ribosomal RNA". It matches the Rfam family "Bacterial small subunit ribosomal RNA", at positions 1 to 294 of the family's 1533-position model. Lineage: Bacteria; Bacillati; Cyanobacteriota; Cyanophyceae; Nostocales; Aphanizomenonaceae. The record is from RNAcentral.
AACGGAGAGUUUGAUCCUGGCUCAGGAUGAACGCUGGCGGUAUGCUUAACACAUGCAAGUCGNNGGGGCAGCAGGUUUGUAGCAAUACAGACGCUGGCGACCGGCAAACGGGUGCGGAACACGUACGCAACCUCCCUCUAACUGGAAGAUAGCCCACCGAAAGGUGGAUUAAUACUCCAUAAUAUAUUGAAGUGGCAUCACUUUAAUAUUAAAGCUCCGGCGGUAAGAGAUGGGCGUGCGUCUGAUUAGGUAGUUGGCGGGGUAACGGCCCACCAAGCCUGCGAUCAGUAGCUGAUGUG